CAAGUCGAGGGCGGGGAGCAAUCCCCGACCGGCGAACGGGUGCGUAACACGUGAGCGACCUUCCGUCUUCUGGGGGAUAGCCGGCCCAACGGCCGGGUAAUACCGCAUACGCUCUUGGGGCCGCAUGGCCUGAGGAGGAAACUUCCGGGGGAGGACGAGGGGCUCGCGGCCUAUCAGCUAGUUGGUGGGGUAACGGCCCACCAAGGCGACGACGGGUAGCUGGUCUGAGAGGAUGGCCAGCCACAUUGGGACUGAGAGACGGCCCAGACUCCUACGGGAGGCAGCAGUGGGGAAUCUUGCGCAAUGGCCGAAAGGCUGACGCAGCGACGCCGCGUGUGGGAGGAAGCUCUUCGGGGUGUAAACCACUGUUGCCCGGGACGAACAGCACUAUCCGUAGUGCCUGACGGUACCGGGUGAGGAAGCACCGGCUAACUCUGUGCCAGCAGCCGCGGUAAUACAGAGGGUGCGAGCGUUGUCCGGAAUCACUGGGCGUAAAGGGCGCGUAGGUGGUGGCUUAAGCGUGCGGUGAAAGCUCGGAGCUCAACUCCGAGUCGGCCGUGCGAACUGGGCUCACUGGAGCAUAGUAGAGGCAGGUGGAAUUCCGGGUGUAGCGGUGGAAUGCGUAGAGAUCCGGAAGAACACCGGUGGCGAAGGCGGCCUGCUGGGCUAUGGCUGACACUGAGGCGCGACAGCGUGGGGAGCAAACAGGAUUAGAUACCCUGGUAGUCCACGCCGUAAACGAUGGGCACUAGGUGCUUGGGGGAGCGACCCCCUGGGUGCCGGCGCUAACGCAUGAAGUG
RNAcentral lists this ribosomal RNA (800 nucleotides) under uncultured Gemmatimonadota bacterium. RNAcentral describes it as "bacterial SSU rRNA". It matches the Rfam family "Bacterial small subunit ribosomal RNA", at positions 58 to 866 of the family's 1533-position model. The record is from RNAcentral. Lineage: Bacteria; Pseudomonadati; Gemmatimonadota.